UUUAAUAUUUGAAUAUCCUUACCACCCGCACACCUGCGCCAGACUGCCAGCCUAAUAUAGAUGCCCUUGCUAGAUUUGUGUUGUGAGCGAUCUAUCAAGGGUUGUGAUCUGCUUUGUAUUUAUUGAUGCACCCUUUGCUUGCAGCAGCGUGCGUUGUUUGCGACGAAGAGACAUCAGCCAGAGAUUCCCUUGCUAAGCUUAUCCUCUUGACCCCCCCUACUUCUUAUAUCUAUAGUAUCUGUUUUAACUGUUGAAUAAAAUAUUUCACAGUGGCAAGCUAAGUCAGCUCCCGUGGCUGAUAAAAGCAAUCCUGUGAACCCAGGUCUUCCAGAGCGGAAAGCGGCUAAUCCCUAAUCCCUGAUAUACCCCCGAUAUGCAAAAUAAAAGAUUAACGGGACAUAGUAAUAAGCAACUUUCCCGCGGCUACAAGUUAUCAAACCGGAAGCCCAAUUUUAAAAUAUCAUAAAUAGUGCAUUUAGCCAUCCUAAGAAGAUGUUAUAUGGCUAAAGGUAUGACAUCGGAGACCUAGGGAAGCGAUAUCACUUCCAUUCGAAACAUUUCCCCCUAUCCUUCGGACAUAUCCUGUACCAGUCUGAGUUCCCUUUGAAUCAUCCCCUCAUAGGAGGGAGGUGACAUCAAAUUGCCAGAGCCAGCCUUUGCAGAAGGAAUAAAAUAUCACGCAGUACGAUCUCUGCACACGAGCCACACUACCGGGAACAUAUUUGCUAAUUUGCACUCUACAUAAUCAUGAUACUAUCGCUUGUCAAAAUCAUAGUAUUUAAAUAAAACCCCCUGGAUCUUUGUACUCGCUCGCUGGCUGCUACGACUGUGUGAGGAACCCUUUAUUUAUCCACACACGAACUGGA
RNAcentral lists this small RNA (866 nucleotides) under Histoplasma capsulatum. RNAcentral's name for it is "hypothetical RNA". RNAcentral also lists the same sequence under 1 other name. Lineage: Eukaryota; Fungi; Ascomycota; Eurotiomycetes; Onygenales; Ajellomycetaceae. The record is from RNAcentral.